GGCGAGAUGGCCGAGCGGUCUAAGGCGCUGUGUUAAGGUGUUCAUAUGAACAUCCGCAGUCUUCGGACGUGGGUUCGAAUCCCACUCUCGUCA
Molecule: transfer RNA, 93 nt
Filed under: Cutaneotrichosporon oleaginosum
Lineage: Eukaryota; Fungi; Basidiomycota; Tremellomycetes; Trichosporonales; Trichosporonaceae
Description: Trichosporon oleaginosus tRNA
Rfam family: tRNA
About the family: Transfer RNA (tRNA) molecules are approximately 80 nucleotides in length. Their secondary structure includes four short double-helical elements and three loops (D, anti-codon, and T loops).
Source: Rfam by way of RNAcentral